This 423-nucleotide ribosomal RNA is filed under the name uncultured Gracilibacteraceae bacterium. RNAcentral's name for it is "bacterial SSU rRNA". It matches the Rfam family "Bacterial small subunit ribosomal RNA", at positions 384 to 821 of the family's 1533-position model. Lineage: Bacteria; Bacillati; Bacillota; Clostridia; Eubacteriales; Gracilibacteraceae. The record is from RNAcentral.
UGAUGCAGCAACGCCGCGUGGAGGAUGAAGGUCUUCGGAUUGUAAACUCCUUUGAUGAGGGACGAAAAAAAUGACGGUACCUCAAAAACAAACCACGGGUAAAUAUGUGCCAGCAGCCGCGGUAAUACGUAGGUGGCAAGCGUUGUCCGUAAUUAUUGGGGGUAAAGGGCGCGUAGGCGGUUCUUUAAGUCAGAUGUGAAAACCCGAGGGUCAACUUCGGGCGUGCAUUUGAAACUGGGGGACUAGAGUGCAGGAGAGGUAAGUGGAAUUUCUAGUGUAGCGGUGAAAUGCGUAGAUAUUUGGAGGAACACCAGUGGCGAAGGCGACUUACUGGACUGUAACUGACGCUGAGGCGCGAAAGCGUGGGGAGCAAACAGGAUUAGAUACCCUGGUAGUCCCCGCUGUAAACGAUGGAUACUAGGU